RNAcentral lists this ribosomal RNA (301 nucleotides) under uncultured bacterium. RNAcentral's name for it is "partial 16S ribosomal RNA". It matches the Rfam family "Bacterial small subunit ribosomal RNA", at positions 509 to 807 of the family's 1533-position model. The record is from RNAcentral.
CAGUCGCCGCGGUAAUACGUAGGUGGCAAGCGUUGUCCGGAAUUAUUGGGCGUAAAGCGCGCGCAGGUGGUUUAAUAAGUCUGAUGUGAAAGCCCACGGCUCAACCGUGGAGGGUCAUUGGAAACUGUUAAACUUGAGUGCAGGAGAGAAAAGUGGAAUUCCUAGUGUAGCGGUGAAAUGCGUAGAGAUUAGGAGGAACACCAGUGACGAAGGCGGCUUUUUGGCCUGUAACUGACACUGAGGCGCGAAAGCGUGGGGAGCAAACAGGAUUAGAUACCCCCGUAGUCCCUGUCUCUUAUAC